This 465-nucleotide ribosomal RNA is filed under the name Vreelandella stevensii. RNAcentral describes it as "partial 16S ribosomal RNA". It matches the Rfam family "Bacterial small subunit ribosomal RNA", at positions 338 to 795 of the family's 1533-position model. Lineage: Bacteria; Pseudomonadati; Pseudomonadota; Gammaproteobacteria; Oceanospirillales; Halomonadaceae. The record is from RNAcentral.
CCUACGGGCGGCAGCAGUGGGGAAUAUUGGACAAUGGGGGCAACCCUGAUCCAGCCAUGCCGCGUGUGUGAAGAAGGCCCUCGGGUUGUAAAGCACUUUCAGUGAGGAAGAACGCCUGGUGGUUAAUACCCAUCAGGAAAGACAUCACUCACAGAAGAAGCACCGGCUAACUCCGUGCCAGCAGCCGCGGUAAUACGGAGGGUGCGAGCGUUAAUCGGAAUUACUGGGCGUAAAGCGCGCGUAGGUGGCUUGAUAAGCCGGUUGUGAAAGCCCCGGGCUCAACCUGGGAACGGCAUCCGGAACUGUCAAGCUAGAGUGCAGGAGAGGAAGGUAGAAUUCCCGGUGUAGCGGUGAAAUGCGUAGAGAUCGGGAGGAAUACCAGUGGCGAAGGCGGCCUUCUGGACUGACACUGACACUGAGGUGUGAAAGCGUGGGUAGCAAACAGGAUUAGAUACCCGUGUAGUC